UGGUGGAUUGUUGCUGGCCUUUGGGUAUGUGCACAUCCUCCUCCGAUUUCUAUUCAUCCACCUGUGCACUUUUUGUAGGAGUUCUUUCAUCGGGUUUUUGAAGGUGCUCAUUAUGAGUUACUUGAAAAGACUAGUUGACAAGGCUUCUAUGUUCUUAUAAACCAUUGAAGUAUGUUAUAGAAUGAUCUUGUUAUUGGGACUUUAUUGACCCUUUAAACUUAAUACAACUUUCAGCAACGGAUCUCUUGGCUCUCCCAUCGAUGAAGAACGCAGCGAAAUGCGAUAAGUAAUGUGAAUUGCAGAAUUCAGUGAAUCAUCGAAUCUUUGAACGCACCUUGCGCCCUCUGGUAUUCCGGAGGGCAUGCCUGUUUGAGUGUCAUUAAAUUCUCAACUUUAUAAGUUUUUACUUAUUAAAGCUUGGAUGUUGGAGGCUUGCAGGCAUUUGUCAGCUCCUCUUAAAUUUAUUAGUGGGAACCCUGUUUUGUUAGUUCUAACCUUGGUGUGAUAAUUAUCUACAUUUUGGUGGAACCUUACAAUAAUAAAGCUCUAUUGGUUUGGGUUGUUGCAUUUAGUUUGCUCAAUCUGUUCUAUUCAUUGGAGAAAAAGGGAAGUUCUGCUUUCUAACUGUCUUGAUUGACUAUAUAUAACUUAUUUGCUUGACCUCAAAUCAGGUAGGAUUA
This 680-nucleotide ribosomal RNA is filed under the name Lentinula edodes (shiitake mushroom). RNAcentral's name for it is "eukaryotic LSU rRNA". The stretch from base 226 to 379 matches the Rfam family "5.8S ribosomal RNA". Lineage: Eukaryota; Fungi; Basidiomycota; Agaricomycetes; Agaricales; Omphalotaceae. The record is from RNAcentral.